Molecule: ribosomal RNA, 809 nt
Filed under: uncultured bacterium
Lineage: Bacteria
Description: bacterial SSU rRNA
Rfam family: Bacterial small subunit ribosomal RNA
Source: RNAcentral
UUAGAGUUUCAUUCUGGCUCAGGAUGAACGCUAGCGGCAGGCUUAACACAUGCAAGUCGAGGGGCAUCAGGAGUGUAGCAAUACACUUGCUGGCGACCGGCGCACGGGUGCGUAACGCGUAUGCAACCUACCUUAUACAGGGAGAUAACCUUUCGAAAGAGAGACUAAAAUCUCAUAGUAUUGAUGAGGGGCAUCCCUUAUUAAUUAAAUCUUCGGAGGUAUAAGAUGGGCAUGCGUAGCAUUAGUUAGAUGGUGAGGUAACGGCUCACCAUGACAACGAUGCUUAGGGGUUCUGAGAGGAAGGUCCCCCACACUGGUACUGAGACACGGACCAGACUCCUACGGGAGGCAGCAGUGAGGAAUAUUGGUCAAUGGUCGGAAGACUGAACCAGCCAUGCCGCGUGCAGGAAGAAUGUCUUAUGGAUUGUAAACUGCUUUUGUAUGGGAGUAAUAAUAACUUUGCGAAGUUAGAUGCAAGUACCAUACGAAUAAGGAUCGGCUAACUCCGUGCCAGCAGCCGCGGUAAUACGGAGGAUUCGAGCGUUAUCCGGAUUUAUUGGGUUUAAAGGGUGCGUAGGCGGCGAUAUAAGUCAAUGGUGAAAGACUUGAGCUUAACUCAGGCGAGCCGUUGAUACUGUAGAGCUAGAACAUAGAUGGAGCAGGCGGAAUGAAUCAUGUAGCGGUGACAUGCAUAGAUAUGAUUCAGAACACCGAUCGCGAAGGCAGCUUGCUAAGCUAUAGUUGACGCUGAGGCACGAAAGCGUGGGGAUCGAACAGGAUUAGAUACCCUGGUAGUCCACGCUGUAAAC